This 253-nucleotide ribosomal RNA is filed under the name uncultured bacterium. Its description in RNAcentral is "partial 16S ribosomal RNA". It matches the Rfam family "Bacterial small subunit ribosomal RNA", at positions 524 to 776 of the family's 1533-position model. The record is from RNAcentral.
UACGUAGGGGGCAAGCGUUGUCCGGAUUUACUGGGCGUAAAGAGCGUGUAGGCUGCCAAACAGGUCCGUUGUGAAAACUGGAGGCUCAACUUCCAGACGUCGACGGAAACCGUGUGGCUAGAGUCCGGAAGAGGAGAGUGGAAUUCCUGGUGUAGCGGUGAAAUGCGCAGAUAUCAGGAAGAACACCAAUGGCGAAGGCAGCUCUCUGGGACGGUACUGACGCUGAGACGCGAAAGCGUGGGGAGCGAACAGG